GAUGAACGCUGGCGGCGUGCCUAAUACAUGCAAGUCGAGCGGACAGAUGAUGAGCUUGCUGCUCUGACGAUAGCGGCGCAGGGGAGAGUCACACGUGGAUCACCUCCCUAUCUGACUGGGAACUCUUCGAGACACCGGCUAUUACCCGAGAUGAUAUCCUGCACCGCGUUGGUCGAUGGUAAGUGUCGGCUUUGCUGGCUCUUCUCGCUGGAUCCGCGCCGCAUUGGCUAGUUGGUAGGGUCACGGCUUACCAGGGCAACGAUGCGUAGCCGACCUGAGAGAGUGAUAGGCGACACUGGAGCGGAGACACGGCCCAGAGUCCUACGGGAGGCAGCAGAAGGGAAUCGGCCGCAAUGGGCGAAAGCCUGACGGAGCAAGGCCGCGUGAGAGAUGAAGGUCUUCCGAGCGGAAAAACCUGUUACUAGGGGAAAACAGAUGUGGAAGGAAACGAGGCCUGCGUGACGGUAACUAAUCAGAAAGCCCCGGCUAACUACGUG
This 497-nucleotide ribosomal RNA is filed under the name uncultured bacterium. Its description in RNAcentral is "partial 16S ribosomal RNA". It matches the Rfam family "Bacterial small subunit ribosomal RNA", at positions 28 to 507 of the family's 1533-position model. The record is from RNAcentral.